ACCUGGUUGACUCAGUCAGUAGAGUGUGUGACUCUUGAUCUCAGGAUAGUGAGUUUGAGCCCCACAUUGGGUA
Molecule: transfer RNA, 73 nt
Filed under: Canis lupus familiaris (dog)
Lineage: Eukaryota; Metazoa; Chordata; Mammalia; Carnivora; Canidae
Also listed under: 1 other name
Rfam family: tRNA
About the family: Transfer RNA (tRNA) molecules are approximately 80 nucleotides in length. Their secondary structure includes four short double-helical elements and three loops (D, anti-codon, and T loops).
Source: Rfam by way of RNAcentral